CCUGUGUGGCCUACAGGGCCUCUGUUCCUGGGCUGUGGGUACACAUGCUUGAUAAACUUCCGUCCAUCUCCCCUGCCCACUCUUGGGUAUCUCCUGUUUGGCCAUCACCACAGGGAAGAAGCUUCCCUCAUCAACAGGUACUCAAUGGGCCCUGCUGAGGAACCCAUGAUUUACUCAACACCCAUGUGACUGGUCUAUCAAGCACCUGGUGUCAAGGUGCUGUGCUGGAGACUGUUUGAGAUUGAUGUGAUCUCUCCUGCCACUGUGAUACCAUGCACAACAAGGGCUUCACCAAAACCAAGAAGAAGCUGAUGUCAUGCCCUUGAACCUCCAGUACUAUAAGCUACAUAAACCUUUUUUUCUUUAUAAAAUAUCUAACCUAGGGUAUUUCAAUACAGCAAUAAAAAUGAACUAAUACAUUAGGUCUAUUAACACAUAGAUACUUGGAGAUUAUUAAAAAAAUACUAUCAAUACAGUUCAGA
Marmota flaviventris (yellow-bellied marmot) is the source of this 482-nucleotide long non-coding RNA. RefSeq lists it as uncharacterized. The record is from RefSeq and is a predicted model, not a curated record. NCBI's taxonomy places the organism in Eukaryota, Metazoa, Chordata, Mammalia, Rodentia, Sciuridae.